GGAUGAAGAACGUAGCGAAAUGCGAUAAGUAGUGUGAAUUGCAGAAUUCAGUGAAUCAUCGAAUCUUUGAACGCACAUUGCGCCCCUUGGUAUUCCAUGGGGCAUGCCUGUUCGAGCGUCAUUUGUACCUUCAAGCUUUGCUUGGUGUUGGGUGUUUGUCUCGCCUCUGCGUGUAGACUCGCCUUAAAACAAUUGGCAGCCGGCGUAUUGAUUUCGGAGCGCAGUACAUCUCGCGCUUUGCACUCAUAACGACGACGUCCAAAAGUACAUUUUUACACUCUUGACCUCGGAUCAGGUAGGGAUACCCGCUGAACUUAAGCAUAUCAAUAAGCGGAGGA
RNAcentral lists this unclassified non-coding RNA (338 nucleotides) under soil metagenome. RNAcentral's name for it is "partial contains 5.8S ribosomal RNA, internal transcribed spacer 2, and large subunit ribosomal RNA". The stretch from base 2 to 121 matches the Rfam family "5.8S ribosomal RNA", at positions 35 to 154 of the family's 154-position model. The record is from RNAcentral.